AAGACUAUACUUUCAGGGAUCAUUUCUAUAGUUCUUUACUAGAGAAGUUUCUCUGAACAUGUAGAGCACUGUGCCUUAAAAAAGAAAAAAAAAAAAGGGC
Small nucleolar RNA from Pan troglodytes (chimpanzee), 100 nucleotides. It matches the Rfam family "Small nucleolar RNA U3". Rfam says of the family: Small nucleolar RNAs (snoRNAs) are involved in the processing and modification of rRNA in the nucleolus. There are two main classes of snoRNAs: the box C/D class, and the box H/ACA class. The record is from Rfam. NCBI's taxonomy places the organism in Eukaryota, Metazoa, Chordata, Mammalia, Primates, Hominidae.